Molecule: ribosomal RNA, 455 nt
Filed under: uncultured Streptococcus sp.
Lineage: Bacteria; Bacillati; Bacillota; Bacilli; Lactobacillales; Streptococcaceae
Description: bacterial SSU rRNA
Rfam family: Bacterial small subunit ribosomal RNA
Source: RNAcentral
GCACAAGCGGUGGAGCAUGUGGUUUAAUUCGACGCAACGCGAAGAACCUUACCAGGUCUUGACAUCCGACGCAAGGCACUAGAGAUAGUGAGAUAGUUAUGGUCGAGACAGGUGGUGCAUGGUUGUCGUCAGCUCGUGUCGUGAGAUGUUUGGUUAAGUCCAGCAACGAGCGCAACCCCUGUCCUUAGUUACCAUCAUUUAGUUGGGGACUCUAAGGAGACUGCCGGUAAUAAACCGGAGGAAGGUGGGGAUGACGUCAAAUCAUCAUGCCCCUUAUGACCUGGGCUACACACGUGCUACAAUGGUUGGUACAACGAGUUGCGAGUCGGUGACGGCGAGCUAAUCUCUUAAAGCCAAUCUCAGUUCGGAUUGUAGGCUGCAACUCGCCUACAUGAAGUCGGAAUCGCUAGUAAUCGCGGAUCAGCACGCCGCGGUCGAAUACGUUCCCGGGCCUU